RNAcentral lists this ribosomal RNA (842 nucleotides) under Fusarium acuminatum. RNAcentral describes it as "LSU rRNA". It matches the Rfam family "Eukaryotic large subunit ribosomal RNA", at positions 31 to 906 of the family's 3401-position model. The record is from RNAcentral. Lineage: Eukaryota; Fungi; Ascomycota; Sordariomycetes; Hypocreales; Nectriaceae.
AACUUAAGCAUAUCAAUAAGCGGAGGAAAAGAAACCAACAGGGAUUGCCCUAGUAACGGCGAGUGAAGCGGCAACAGCUCAAAUUUGAAAUCUGGCUUUCGGGCCCGAGUUGUAAUUUGUAGAGGAUACUUUUGAUGCGGUGCCUUCCGAGUUCCCUGGAACGGGACGCCAUAGAGGGUGAGAGCCCCGUCUGGUUGGAUGCCAAAUCUCUGUAAAGUUCCUUCGACGAGUCGAGUAGUUUGGGAAUGCUGCUCUAAAUGGGAGGUAUAUGUCUUCUAAAGCUAAAUAUUGGCCAGAGACCGAUAGCGCACAAGUAGAGUGAUCGAAAGAUGAAAAGCACUUUGAAAAGAGAGUUAAAAAGUACGUGAAAUUGUUGAAAGGGAAGCGUUUAUGACCAGACUUGGACUUGGUUAAUCAUCUGGGGUUCUCCCCAGUGCACUUUUCCAGUUCAGGCCAGCAUCAGUUUUCGCCGGGGGAUAAAGGCUUCGGGAAUGUAGCUCUCUUCGGGGAGUGUUAUAGCCCGUUGUGUAAUACCCUGGCGGAGACUGAGGUUCGCGCUUCUGCAAGGAUGCUGGCGUAAUGGUCAUCAACGACCCGUCUUGAAACACGGACCAAGGAGUCGUCUUCGUAUGCGAGUGUUCGGGUGUCAAACCCCUACGCGUAAUGAAAGUGAACGCAGGUGAGAGCUUCGGCGCAUCAUCGACCGAUCCUGAUGUUCUCGGAUGGAUUUGAGUAAGAGCAUACGGGGCCGGACCCGAAAGAAGGUGAACUAUGCCUGUAUAGGGUGAAGCCAGAGGAAACUCUGGUGGAGGCUCGCAGCGGUUCUAGUGCAAACGAUCUUC